UCCUCCUGUUCUCUCUGUGAUCUCCUCUGUUGGAUCAGUCUGUGUUGUGGUUCUACUGGUGUUACUGGUUCUGCUGGUGAGACAUGUUUACAGGAAAGUCACUGAUGCAGCUGCAGUCGACGCAGACGUGAGACCAGAAGACGUCAAAGACAAGAACAACAGGUCAAAGAUACGAGGAUGGGAUUCAACUGUGGUCUACUCAGCAGUGAGAACUGAAGGCAUCAGUGAUGGACUAGAAACCAUCAGAACCAGGAGGAGCAGACUUUAAACCACAGAAGGAUCUCUGCUCUGCACUGAAGCAGUCCUCCAGUCCAACCAUCGAUGUCCAGCUGCUGCUCUCUAACUGCUCCCCCAGCACCUCAGAC
Molecule: long non-coding RNA, 365 nt
Organism: Archocentrus centrarchus (flier cichlid)
Lineage: Eukaryota; Metazoa; Chordata; Actinopteri; Cichliformes; Cichlidae
Exons: 4
Source: RefSeq, a predicted model, not a curated record